AUUCUGUGUCUCCCUCUCUCUCUGCCCCUCCCCUGUUCUCUCUCUCUCUCUCUCUCCCUCUCGCUCGCUCAAAAAUAAAUAAACAUUAAAAAAAAUUUAAAAAUGGUUUUACAAAUCACAUCUUAGCAAAGACGCGAAACCCCUCUGUCUCCUAGGUUUGCGAGUGGAAUGGGGCAGGGGAUAGGGUGUAGGGAGCUAUGCAUGUUUCAGUAAGACUUGGAAGUGCUCCAAAGAGACAUUACAUGAAGGCACUCUGGCAACCGACUGCUCUGAAGCCAAAAUGUCUUCAUUAUUAAUUUUCAAGAGAAAAUGCAGAGUAUUUUCUCUGGGAAAAGAGAAACUCCAGUGCAUUCAGUCCCAGGUACUCACCCACUCCUAUCGCAGGGCACGGCUCCCCAGAGAUCCAAACCAUCCCUUGUUAAGGUGCCUGUCUAAACAGAAACGAGGGCUCGGUUUACUCUGAAGCGACAGCCCCUAAGGUAUGUUUUAACAGGGAAAUACAUGUCACAAACACGUUACUGAAAUCAGCACCUCAAGGAAGGACACAGUCAGGUGGGAAUCCUGGGGUCCUCGGCAGAAGCUUGGAUGGCUCCUACCAGUUGUACCACCAAGCUGGCGAUAAAGGAAGAAAACGGUAUCUGUCUUAUAGACUUCAGAGGCUGGUUGUGAGGAUCUAAUGGGAAAGUCUUGGUAAGCCUGUAAGAGCUAUAAAAUGGGUGAGUCCCAGGUUUUACAGCAGAAGAUAAAAGUAGGUCAUCAGAAAUAAGUAAUGGGAGUAGACUUUUUCCCUGCUCUAAACAGGUGGUUUGCUCUUUGACACCUGUUAGGUAAAAGAGGGUGCUUUUUGGUAUUUCUCUCCGUACAGGAUAAUGAUGAAGAGCUUGGACUCAUUUAAAACACUAGCUGUAUGACCUGGGAGAGUUAUUUAAUCCCUCUGAACCUCGGAGCCCUUACCUGUACAAUGUGCUUAUAAUCGGAUGAGGUUAUUGUGAACGUCAAAUUAGAUAAUACAAAUAAAGUGCUUGAUUUAAUGUCUGACACAGAGUAAGAGCAAAUUAUGAUAAUUACCCCUAAUUAUUACUUAUUUUAUGCAAAUUCAUGUCAUAAUGAUUUGUCCCACCCCUGCUUCUUUUGCCAAGGGCAGGGAUGAGAUGACCCCACAAAUAGAACAUUCUUCUUUGUUAUGCUAAUUGGAUCACAAAGUAAUUCAGAAAUGCUGGCAAGAGCCAUGUUAGCCUUCUGAUCGUGGUAGGUCUCGCUGAUAGUCCAGUAACCAUGUAAUAUAGCUCUGAUCCUAUUACUUUUCUGUCCUCAAGAACUUCAGUGUCCUGUUUAAUGGACACAGGGUUUCCAUUUGGGAAGAUAGAACAAUUCUCAAGAUGGAUGGCGGUGAUGAUUGCGCAACAAUAAUCUGGAAGCUCAAGAGACGUGCCUUUCCUACAUUACGCAUCCAACCAGAGAUAAAAGAAAUGUUGGCACAACAUCUCCUCAAAUGUGCACUCGUGAGAACUCGAAGCACUGUGAUCUCAAGGUCUCUUCUCUCUGGACCUCAGCUUCCAUAUCCAUGAGAUGCAGUGACCUCUAAGGUCCCUCCCUGCUCUAGCAGCAUACUACUUAAAAAUGAAAUUCAAUUAGUCCUAAAGUCCCAGUGUGUUUUCAGGCAGCAGAUGUGUGACAAAUCCUUUGUCGUGAACCUUUUCACAUAUUUAAGCCAAGGCAGGGAAGAGCUUGGACUUGACCUUCUGGGUUUCAGGAUGUCAUCAAUAGCUUUCAUAUCUUCCAAGUUUAUCAAAAGAUAUAAUUUAUAUGAAAAUACUGAACAUAAAAGUCACAGAUGAUUUGAAAUGUCUAAUGAUCUCUACAGUCUUCUAAGGUAAAGCGACAGGGUUGCAAUAACCUUUGUUCAAGAAGAAAAUGCUAAGCACUCAGAAAAUUACAACUGUAUCAAACUUAGGACACAGAAAGCAGCUUUAAUUUGAACUCUCCCAUCCAGAGCAGGACAGUCAAGUAAGAAUUGUGGGAGUGUAAUAUCCCACAGCAAGCCCCAGCUUUGCCACGGUUGUUCUGAUAGAGAAGGAACCUGGGAGAGCUUGCCAAGGCUGUAAGUUGUGAGACAGAACCGUACCUGUCA
Felis catus (domestic cat) is the source of this 2131-nucleotide long non-coding RNA. RefSeq lists it as uncharacterized. NCBI's taxonomy places the organism in Eukaryota, Metazoa, Chordata, Mammalia, Carnivora, Felidae. The record is from RefSeq and is a predicted model, not a curated record. The transcript has 3 exons.